UACGUAGGGGGCGAGCGUUAUCCGGAUUCACUGGGUGUAAAGGGAGCGUAGACGGCCAAGCAAGCCAGGGGUGAAAGCCCGGGGCCCAACCCCGGGACUGCCCUUGGAACUGCAUGGCUGGAGUGCGGGAGGGGCAGGCGGAAUUCCUGGUGUAGCGGUGAAAUGCGUAGAUAUCAGGAGGAACACCGGCGGCGAAGGCGGCCUGCUGGAUCGCGACUGACGUUGGGGCUCGAAAGCGUGGGGAGCGAACAGG
Molecule: ribosomal RNA, 253 nt
Filed under: uncultured bacterium
Lineage: Bacteria
Description: partial 16S ribosomal RNA
Rfam family: Bacterial small subunit ribosomal RNA
Source: RNAcentral